CAAAACGAGUUCAAGCCUUCUCUUUCAUUCUCCCAAACUCCUUAUCACAUCUUCCUAGAUUCCAUCCCAACCUCCAGAUUUCCCCUCACGCCCGUCUCCACCCUCCUGGCAUUUCGGUAGAGAGCCCCAGCUCAUCUCCCCUCCUCUUCGCCCGUAGGAUAAACUCAUCUUUCCCAGCUCCUCCUGUGAUGCAAACCAACCAAUCUCCCCAGCAUCCGCAUCAUCUUCCUAGAUUUCAUCCCAACCAAAUCUAGUGUCUUCCCUCUUCCGAAACACCCAAACCUCUCUCUGUUCGCAAGAUCAACUCUCAGCAAAUCUAAAUCCCAGCCUUCAUGGAAGAAAAGAGCAGAGUAGCUCAAGGAUUUCCUUUUUCGUGAGUUUAUCCCAACAUCAUCCAAACUUCCAGCUCAUAUUCCCUCCAUUACCGUUCAGCUCUUCUACCGUAAUCCCUCUGUGAUUCAAACUUCCACGCAUAGAUCCCAGCAAAUUUCGAAAUCCCAGCUCCUUUGUUCUCAGCCGUAUCCAUCAUUUUCAAGUCUCCCGUGUCUUCAUCCACUUCACCCUCCCGAACUCCACAUCCAUUUCAUCUUCCCGAGUUCCCUGCGAUCCUAUCAACGGCUACCAUCCCACAUGAGAUCUCCCAUGUCCAAAGAACUGAGCUGUGUGCCCCUUCCUUAUCCGAAUCCCCUUCAUCCCAUUUGUUCCCCUGUUUCUCCGCGAUUUCCUCCACGUCCUUCCCGAGCUCAUCCUCCCAGCUCAUAAAUUCAUUUCCUUAUCCCUUCUUCGGAACAAAUCCCAGCAUUCCAUCAUCCGCGAUUCAUCAUCAUCUCCUGGAAAUCUUUUAUCCCAUGAGCAUCCCAACUUAGUCCACGGUUUUCUCCCAACCAUCAGCCGAAUCAUCUACGGAUUCAUCCCAUCAUCUUCCAGCCGAGAUCCCAACUUCUCUCCCCUGAUUUCUUCACCCGUUCGAAUCAAGUCGAGUCCCAAGCUUCAUAUUUCGAUCACUCCCUUCCGCAUCCCCUGCUCCGUUAUAUCUCAACUGCCAACCUUCAAAUCCCAAGCCAGCCUUCAUCUCAUCCGCGGUCAACUCCCAGCUUCCAGCCACGUCCAAGAUCUCCUCCCACGCAUUGAAGAAGUGGCGAUUUCUUCCACUCAUUCCAUGAUCUAGCAGUGUUCGAGAUCCUCUCAACAUCCACGUCUUCGCCAUCCUCUGCAUCCAAGGGAGCAACCGACUUCUUCAACAAAAUCAGUUCCCAGACUAUAAUCCCAACGCCCGGAUUAAAUCUGCUACGCGUCUCGCCCGUGUCAGUUUCUUGGCCCUUAUCUUCCCAUGACGUGAUGAGAUAACAGGAGUCGACAGAGGCUAUAAAAGGAGGAGAUUUCUCCUCUUCAGAAAUCAAGCGGGGAGAGGCCGACUUCCCAAAGAAACAGAGGAGGGAGAGAAGUUUGGGUCUUUUUGGGAAUGCCUUUUCAAAAGAAAAAAAUAAUGAAUUGCUAGAGAAGGAAGGAGAGAUCCAGGGAAGAAAGGAAGAAAAGAAGAAAUGGGAGCCCGCUGCUAUGCCACUGCUGCUGUCGCCCACGACUCCAUGGAAGGCUGAUCUUCUCUCUAGGGCCGGAUGCAGCCCUAACAAAGGGACACGGAUUUUAUAUUUUAUUUUAUAUUCUUGGGGUUGUAUGAACUUAUUGUUUUCAAUGGAUAUCUUCUUUUGAAUCAUAUUUAAUUUCUGUAAUUUUAAGUAUGAUGUUCGUACAACUGUUCUUCAUGAUCACUAAGUAAAAAUAAGAUAGCUCAUGCUUAAGGAAGAUACGAUGUGCUGCCACCUUAGAUUAGGGUAGACAUUUCAUGCUAACUAAAGAUGGAUUAUGCCUAAAUUACUUUUGUAAAAUUUUAUUCGAAUGCUUAUUAGGCUUGUAGCCAAUUUGCAUGUUAAUCCAAGAAUAAAUUAAAAUACAAAUAAUCCUUGUUCCGAUGUUAGGGGUGAAUUCCUUACCCUAGGUUCCCUCACACUGAUAUCACUUCAAUUGCAAUUUUUUUUAUUAAAUUUCUUAGUUUAAUUCUCUUCACAAAUUUUCUUUUUUAAAUAUUUUUUUUAAAAAAUAACUGUACCCUAAUCCCUGUGGAUCGAUACCCGUAAUCACUAUUCUACCAGAUACAUGCUAUUGCGUGGUCUUUAAAAUUGACUAUCAAAUCUCUAGCAUGACUAUCGACACGGGUUGGGCGUGAGACUCUUCCGGAUCUCUUAGUAACGGCUCGCUUGGGUCCCAUUUUCACCAAAUCCUUGUUAGCAUCCCACAUAUGCCAUGAAAAUUUUGAAAUAAUUUUCAGAUUGCAGCGGAAAAAUCUAUGCAGGAUUCGUUCAUCAUAUGAACAUAUUUUAAAACCUUUCGUUUGUAGAUGGAUUAGAAUUAAAUUAUUUUAAACCAUUUUAAAAUCAUUAAGAAGAUCAGAUCUUCACCUUGUGCGGGUAGAUGGUCUCCACAAAUCUGAUUUACGUGGUAUUUGAUGAGGGUUCAAUGGAAUCCGCACAUGCGUCCGGCCUCUACAGGUAUCCACACGAAGUACUGACUCGAUCGAAGCCUUUGGAUCUCACCGAGGUGCUAGCUCCCUUGCAGAGAUGGCUAUGGAUGGCUGAAGUCCUCUCUUUUGAAUCAACCUUUGAUUGGCUUGAGAGGAGGAAGAAGAAGGAAGAACCAAAGGAACAAGAACAAAGCCCUGCAGCCUUUUCCUUUUUCUUCCUUUUGGAACCAAGAUGAAGAAGGAAGAGGGCGUCUUAGGCUUUUCUUUUUCUUCUCUUGAUUGUGGCUCAAAUGANNNNNNNNNNNNNNNNNNNNNNNNNNNNNNNNNNNNNNNNNNNNNNNNNNNNNNNNNNNNNNNNNNNNNNNNNNNNNNNNNNNNNNNNNNNNNNNNNNNNNNNNNNNNNNNNNNNNNNNNNNNNNNNNNNNNNNNNNNNNNNNNNNNNNNNNNNNNNNNNNNNNNNNNNNNNNNNNNNNNNNNNNNNNNNNNNNNNNNNNNNNNNNNNNNNNNNNNNNNNNNNNNNNNNNNNNNNNNNNNNNNNNNNNNNNNNNNNNNNNNNNNNNNNNNNNNNNNNNNNNNNNNNNGGAUUUGUAUGAAUCCAUUUCAAUUUCCUCCUUAUCCUAAUCUAAUUAGGAUUUAAUUGAACCAUGACUCUAUUGAACUCUUUAAUUCUAAUCCAAUUAGGAGUCAUUUAAUUAAUUAGAUUAAAAUUAAAAUUAAUUAGGACUUAAGAAAAUCCUAAUCUAAUUAGGACUUGUCCAAAUUUCAGCCCUAAGACAAUUAGGACUUUAGAAAUCUUAUUCCAAGUAGGACUCUAAUUUAAUUUGAAAUCCUAAUCCAAUUAGGACUCCAUGAAUCCCACUCCAAGUAGGACUCAUGAUCAAGUCCAAUUAAUUAAAUCUAAUUAAUUAAAUUAAAUUAAAUUGCAAUCCGAUUGCAAUUAUUCCUUCUUCUAACCACUAACUCUUAGCGGGUUAACCAUUUAUCAAUCUAAUUGAUUAUUUGUGAUUCCUAAUCACAUUCAACCAUCGGAUCGGUCAAUACAUCUAAUGUAUGUGACCCCAUAGGUUUUAUUCUGACUGGUAGUGAGAAAUAUUGCAAUCUCUAUUACAAUAUCAUUGAAAACUCCUUUCAAUGGGUUGAAACAAUUCCAACUCAACUCACCAGGAAUUAUCGACCAUCAAUAUGAUCCCUGUGAGUCUCACCAUCCACCAGUGACACCUAGCAGUAUGUAGUGGCCACCCAGUAGAAUAGAAUGAUGAACCUCUAGGUACAGUUAUUGUAUGAUACAGUCCUUCUAUCGUGGAUCCCUACAGACCGGAGGUCAUGGAUAACUCGUCAAACCCCAUCGUCUGCCAUAUGUCUAGAUUUAUUUGACUUGAGUUUUAGAGUAGAAAACUCUUUUCCACUGUAUAUUCUGCCCUGGCCAAGGUCUUAGAACUCAGUCUUAUAAAUCACAUAGGAUUUUUUCUCAUCUAUCAAGGUCGAUAGAUUCCAUGUAAGUGCAUACCCUACUCCUACAGUGAACCUACUGCAGCCAAUCUACACAACAAGGACCCAUAUGACUAGAGACCAUGUAUAUGUGCAGUCAAACUACAAUAACCUCACUGUGAAUAACCGAAACACUGCAGGUCAAAGGACCAGUCACACUACUGCAACAUCAAGCAAGUCACUGACGAGUGGAUAGACAUCCAAGUGACUUCUUGUCUUGCUCACGCUCAGUACCCUUGUUCUCUAACAAGCACCUGCACUAUCACUUCAGUGUCCCUACACUGUGGACUCGAGUCUCGUCCAUCCAUAAGGAAAGCGAUCUGUGCACUGAUCGGAUUGAUCACCGUCCUCGUGAUGAUCCAUUGGUCAGGAGCAUUUAGAAAUUAAUCACCAAUGACACAUGGCUCAAAUUCUCAACUCUUGAGAAUAUGUAUCAUCAUCUUAUUAAUUUCUUGGACAAUUCAUAGACACAUAAACAAUAUGAAUGAAAAGAUGCCCAUUUAUUAUUCAAUAAUAAUAAAGUCAAGCAUAAAUUUAUGCCCCAAAAUUAAUAAUGUGUCCGCCAGAUUGGCUUCUAGGGCAUACAUCCAACAACUUGGAGGCGUGAUGGAGGCUUAGGUGUUCUAGUCGGAGAAGAAUUCUAGAAUAUCCAAGACGCAUGUUCUGGUUGGCCAGGAUACAAGUUCUGAUUGACCGUAGGGAAUUAGGAUAACUAUGGAAUGAAUGAGAGAGUCUCACCCUCACUCAAUCCAAUAGUUGGCGUGAAGAGUUAGAUGGCAUCUCACUUAUCCUUCUUCAGCCCCUCUUGGUGUUGUACCAAGAAAAAAAUAAGAAAUCUCUCCUUUCACGUGAAAGAUCAUAAUUUUUCAAACCACUCUAUCUAAAUUUUAUUCUUCAACCUUCUUUAUUUAUAGAGUAAGAGGUUGGGAUAAACAUAGGCUCUUACAAUUCAAAAUUAAAAGGACUCCUACUUGACAUGGACUCUUUUAAAUCAAAUUAUUGACUAAAUCAAAUAAUAUGAUUGGACUUCCACUUAAUUUUGGACUCCCCAUGGCACAUGGAUUAGAGUCUAAGUCGGCUAGGAAUCUUCCUCAAACGCCACAUGGACCAAAUAGACAAACUCCUAAUCACUCGAGGACUCUUCAAUGCCAUGGACUCAAUGUGGUUUCAUGGCGUUGGGAAUCAAACUCCAAUUGACGCAUCACGCCAAGCAAAAAGAACUCAAUCUAACAUUGGACAUGCCCAAUGUUGAACCCAAACUCCUUAACUCAAGACUCCUAAUCAAUUUGGACUCUUUAAUUGACACAUGACUAACAGUCCAAAUCAGCUAGGACUCUCUUACACGACACAUAGACCCAUUAUAAAGACUUCAAAUAAUUUAGGAUUCUUCAAUGCAACUAGGACUUAAUGUAAUUGGGUGUUGAAACACUCAAGCCCAAUGUAACUAGGUGCUAAAAAUCUUGGAUCUACUAUAAUUCGGUGUUGACACUUUGCGGACCCAAUGUAAUUUGGCGCUCACCCAAGAAGGAGACUCAAUCUCCACGCAUGCCCCGUGAUUGAAUCGAUGCUCCUGCAUCAUGUCAAUACGAUCAAUGAAGCUAAACUGAAGGAAGUUGUUGCCCUGCUAUGUAGCCCAAGAGGAGAGGGGUGAAUUGGAUUUUUCAAAAACUAUAGCUAAUAGUACAACAAAAUUAAAUGCUUAAUAGAAGAAUAUUUAAAUUAGUAGACAAGCAUUAAGUAAAUAAGCAAGGAAAAACAAACAAAGUAAAUAUAAAAAAUUUAUGGUAGUUCGGUGCUAACUCUGCACCACAUCCACUCUCCAAGUUUUUUUGAGAAUUUUACUAUAAUUUAUAACCCAAAUUACGACCCAAUUAUUUUUCGGCUUCACAACAAAAUCUAGUUGAUCUUUCUAGGUCAAUCAACCAAAAUCUUAACCGAUUAUUUUUUGGGUUCACAUCCAACUCAGUUGAUUUUUCAAGCAAUCAACCAAAAUCUUUUCCGAGCUUAUCCUAUGCUCAACACAAUCCAAUUUAAGGUUUGGAUAAAUCUUUUUCCAUGUUUCAAUUUCUGAAACUUGUUACAGCAAUGAAUAGAAAGAAGUAAAUGUUGUUACAAUCAAUACAACUCCAAGACAGUAAAUACAAAAUAAUAAAUAGAGCUACACUAUGUUGGUUACCUUGAAUACUCUUGAAGGUGCUUCACUAACUCUCGGAUGUUGAAGAUGUAAUUUUUCAGCUCACUAUAAAAGUUCUUAAAUGAUAUCUUCUUUUAAGCUCUCUCUUUUUGUUCUCUUUUUCUAACUCUAGUGAAUUUGUCAUUGUAGUGCUUGAGCUCUCUUUCUCCUUUGGUGUUCCCAUACAUUUAUACCUUUGGAAGAAGAUUGAAACAUUUUUCUACAGUUGUCAGGCGCUAAACCAUUGAAGAUGAAAAGAACCAUUUAGAUUCGUAAAAAACUAGUUCUUACAGUUGUCAGGUGCAGAAGAGUUGCCUCGCCAUUUUCUAGGGCCGACUUGAGAUUUUUAGGAGUCAACUCGUGAUCUUCAGGAGUCGGAUCGAGCUUGCUUCUAUUUCUACUGUACUCUGUUUUUCAUCUGUGGCACUUGUAGAGUCAGCACUCUCAAUUUAGGAGUCAACUCGAGAUUUUUAUAACUUGACUCUUUGAUUUCAUGGGUCAACUCUUCGACGGAUUGUCUUUCACUACUUCUGUCUUUCUAUUGUGACCAUUCUGGGGUCAACUCGACUAUUUCUAGGGUCGACUCUAGUUUGACUGGAGUCGGCUUGUGAAUUUCAUGGGUCGACUCGCCGAUGCAGUGAUUUUUUCAGCUUUCUGUCUUUUCUUUAUAGCCAUUUUAGGGUUCACUCGUUUGAUUCUAGGGUCGACUCUUGCUAGUUUAGAGCCGGCUCGAGUAUUUUAUGUGUCAAGUCAUUAAUAAGAUGAAUUUCUUCGCUUUCUAUCUAUCCUUUGAGACUGUUCUAAUUUCAACUCGCGAUUUGUUAGAGUCGGUUUGUUAAGGUGCAUCAAUCAGUGACAGUAUGUCGGGGUCGACUCAUUGCAAGCUUGGGGUCUACUCUUGAGAUAGCUUAGGGUGAAAUUUUUUGUAUUUGCAAGUGAUCUUCCAAGGAAUAUUUUUAUGGCCUUUUGGACUUUAGCUUCUUGAUGUGGUGCUUACAAAGAUGAUCAUCAUUUGAGAGUGCCUGUAGGCUUUCAUCUUUGCUUUCUAAAAUUUAUCACUUAAAGUCAAAGCAAAUACAUUAGUCAAUAUUUGACUUAACUAUUUUGCAUCAUCAAAAUCAAUCUUUUAGGUUCAAUAAUCUCUCCCUUUUUGAUGAUGAUAAAAUUUUUGAGUUCCAAAGAAAUUGAUAUAAACAAUGGUAACAUCUUUUAGAACAAAAUAUAUCUGCAAGAUUCAAAUAGAAAGAAUAAGCAUGAAUAACAUUUGAAUUUAAGUUCACAAAAUUCAUAGAGUGAAAAAAAAUUUUAUAUUGCUUGAUACCAUUCACUCUUUAUGCUUGAUUACAGUUGUUUUAGUUAUAAGUUAAAUAAUUCUUUCUCUUUUUGAUGCAAUAAUAGGACUACUUAAAGAAGAAUAUCAAAUUACUAUUUGCAAAAAGUGUAAAUCUAUCAUUCUCCUUUUACUUUGCUUUUUGCAUUUCUUUUGAACUUUAUCUUAAUCUUAAGGUUUUACAUCAUUGAUGCCAAUGAGCUUUUACCAUUUACUUUUCUAUUUUUCUUUCUCCCCCCUUUUCUUUCGGUAUCUCCUCCUUUCUCUUUCUUCCUCAUUUUGUUAUAAUCAAUAAGGAGGGCACUAGUUUACAGAAUAAGCAUGAGAAUCAUUCAGAUUAAAAUAUUCAUUGCAGUAUAUCAGAUAGACAAACAUUGAUCCUUUCAAUUUAAAUAUUCAUCAGGGAUAAUUGCCGAAAAGAUAAGCACAAGUGACUUGAACUAAACUAGUAGAUUUCAUUAAGCAAAAGAAUUCAAGUACAACUUAAUCACUUGAAUAGUAAAUUUCAUAUGAAGAAGAAGGGACAUUCAAGUGAACAAACAUGCUCGAGAAAGCACCAGCUCGGCAGACCCCAAUUCUAAAGAAUUGAAGAGGUCUAGAUGAGGAGGAGGGCUAACUGGGUUGAGCAGGGGGCCAAGCAGAGGUGGAGGCUCUAGGGAUAGAAGAGGAGUUCUCAAGUUGUCCAAUUAGUCUUUCUAUGGCCUGAAGAAGAAACAUCACUCCAAAAGAAACAAUAGUUGAAAUACCCUGAAUCUCUUCUCCUAAUUGCUAGAUGCCAUAUUCAAUUCGUCCUCUGAGUCUCCCAGUCUUCAAGGCAAGUUCUGAAAUCUGCACAGCAUCUUCAUUUGGAACUUGAUCCAUUCUGCCUUGAUCAACCUUUUCUUCCAAUGAGGCCACUUUUUCUUUAGACUGGCAAUAGAAUUUUGAAUCAAAGAUAAUUUUGAAAUACCCUGAAUCUCUUCUCCUAAUUGCUAGAUGCCAUAUUCAAUUCGUCCUCUGAGUCUCCUAAUCUUCAAGGCAAGUUCUGAAAUCUGCACAGCAUCUUCAUUUGGAACUUGAUCCAUUCUGCCUUGAUCAACCUUUUCUUCCAAUGAGGCCACUUUUUCUUUAGACUGGCAAUAGAAUUUUGAAUCAAAGAUAAUUUUGAAUUUUGAUCUAUCAUCAUUUGAACUAAAUUAGUUAGAUCUCCCACUUGAGACUUCCUUGAGCCAUUUCUUAGUUCAGAAGCUUUAUCUACUAGAAAGGCCAUAGCUAGUUGUUUAGAGAUAAUUUUAUGCUCAUCUUCAUGCAGCCAAAUGUGAGCAAAUUGAUUUCUACUUGCCGAUGGAAUGUCUAAGUCUUCUUUAGCAAUUGGCUUUUUUUAUGCUUCUCUUCUUAUUAGUUCUGUUGUAGCUUCUUCUCUGUUUUCCUCUUCCUCAACACUAGCCGUUCCAUUGGUUGUCACCCAACGACCAUCUUUCUUGUUGAAUCCCAUAUGAUGCAGAGAAUGUUUGUUGUAGGUGUCAAAAAAUAUAAACUCACUAGUUGCCUUACCCAAUAGGUUUAUAGUGAAAUUUUUAAAUAUUCAGUAAGCAUCAAAUAGUAGGGUAGUGGAGCUUUUAUCCUUGAAACAACUUCAUAUAUCCUUUGAAUAAUCAGAGAUCAUAGAUUGAUGGGGAUCUCCUUGAUAAUGUGGAACAUUAUGCAAAGCUCCUGUUUUGACACAAUCUCAAACCUCCCAGACUUUGGAUAAAGUACCAUGUUGAUUAUAUGAUGUGGCAACCUCAUCUCCACACAGAGUUGGGUUUCUUCAAUUUCAACAUUUUUAUUUAUUGAUUCUAUUUCCAGUACGCACUGCAGGGCUGCUUGCCGAUCUUCAACCUUAUCCAUGAGAGCAUCUUGGUUGGGCAUCUGAAGAACUUGCUCAAGCACAUGAUCAUUUAGUUCAAUGCUCACAUUUCUUACCACAGAUGAAAUGCUUCCCAUGCCAAACCUGAGAUUUUGGCAAAAUUCUCAAAUGAGGUCAGGGUAAAUGGGUCCCUUAAGUUUGCAGAAGUACUCCUAGCCUUGGUUUCUGAUAAGCUUUCCGAUUGUGAUUCCCCCAUUUUUCAGAAACUGAAAGUCGAUCUUUCUUCUGGAGGUGAUCUUCCGAGUGGAGAGGGGUGUCAUGCUGGGAAUCCUCGCAGAAGAGGCUGAUAUGAGGAGAAGCGAAAAGCAAUCCUCUAAUUGUUGUUUGAUUGGAGAUUUCCCUGGGUCAUCCUUUUCUUGUUUUGAUUCAAAUUUUUUUCUUCUUAGAGGAAGCAUCUUUCUUGGGAUCAUCCAGAGAUUAAGGACGAGAUGCUAAGGUGAAGAUAAGAGACUAGAGAAAUCCAAGAGAAGGUAGAAGAGAUUUGCUCGGUAAAUCACAAAGGAGAAGAAGAAUUUCGAAGCGAUAAAGAAAGUAAAGAGAAGGGUCAGCUUCGAUUAAAGAUAGCAGAGCUUCUAAGUGUCGACCAAGCAGAUCGACAGCCACACAUGAGUCGACUCAUCACAGGAUAUGAGUUGGCUUCCAACAGCCUAUAGAGCUUUGAGUUAACUCUCGAGUUGACUCAAGGCUUCCUCUUAGGGGUCAGCUCCUCAUUUAGAGUUGACUAUUUAUCUUAAGAGUCAGCUCACAGAGGAAGGGAGUUUAGGAAUUUCAAGGAAAUGCAGUUGAAAUUGAGAUAAUUCACAAAGAAUAAUCAAUAGCGUAAUCAGAUAGAAAUUAAUAGAAAGGUUUACAAACUCCUAAUUUAUUUCUAAUCAUACAAAAUUUGUCUUCAUUCAAAAAUUUUGUGAAGAUGUCAGAAAGUUAUUUUUUUAAACACACAAAUUUAAUUAUUUUGCACAUGGUCUCUUAUGAAAUGAUGUCUUAUCUCGAUGUACUUAGUUUUUGAGUAUCGAAUAAAAUUUUUAGUUAACUUUAUGGCACUUGUAUUAUCACAUUUAAUAGAUAUUUUUUUAAGUCUAAUGCCAUAAUCCUCAAGUUGUUGCUUAAUCUACAAAAUUUGAGCACAACAACUUUCAGUUGCAAUGUAUUCAGCUUCUGCUGUAGAUAAGGCUAUGACAACAAAAUUUUGGCGCCGUUGCCGGAAGGCAAAUUGAGAAGCAAGAACGAUCACGAAGAUCAAAUCAAAUUUUGGAUGUCCGGAGUGAACACACUCCGGUAGUAAGUUUUUUUUUAUUUCUAUUAAUUUUUCUUGUUUUGAUUAUUUUUAGUUAAUAAUUUCGUAGUUAUUAAAUUCUGAAAUUUAAAAUUCAGAAUUUAAAAUUUUGAAAAAAAUUUAAAUUCAAAAAAUUAAAAUUAAAUUUUUUCCAAAAAUACUAAAAUUUAAAAAUUAAAUUCAAAAUUUGAAUUCUGAAAUUCGAAAUUUUAAAAAAGGAAAAGAAAAAAAAAUUUGCUUGCUCAUUUAAUCAGUACAAUCUAAUGGCAUUCCAUAAACUUUAAAAAAAUCAUUGAAUAUUUGUUGCAUUUAGUAUUAAGCAUUUGAAUAAAAUAAUUUAAGGGCAAAACUCAUUAAAAAGAUAAGAUCGGAAAGUCAUUACCUAUCCUUAGCCCAAAAAUCACCACCUUGUAUACAUAUCCUAAGCCAAAUUAAAUUAAAAUCAAUUAGACGUUGGCUUUAGGAUUUUCGAGCUUAAUUAGGCUCUUGGAAAGAAGCAGCUGAAAGCCACUCUAGUGAGAAUUUAGUAAUUGGUGAUGCCUAGGAAAGUUUUACAACAGUGAGAAUUGUUACGGGUAUUGUGGACUGGUGUAUCCCUUCUGGCACUACCACACAUCCCGGGACUUUUCUGGUCACUGGUUACUGGAUCGCUUAACUGGUAAGCUCAAGCUUAAUCUGGAAGGAAGAUUAGGAGUUGUCUAAUCUAGGAGAGAAUUUCAGAAACUUUUUAACCUGAUAAAUCUCUGUGCAAGUAGAUUAAAAGCUACUAAACCUUCUUUAAUCUCAAGAUUAAAGAGCCAAUCCGUUGUGUGGUGUUGAUUGUGGUCAUCUUGGUUUAGCCCUUCUUCUUCUCUUUUAGGAUUUCGUUUAGGAAUCGAGUCUAAUUAGUUGUGGAUAAUGUAUGCAUGGUAGAAGAUCAUUAAGGGGUAAGUUAACANNNNNNNNNNNNNNNNNNNNUUUUGUUUAGGAGUCGAGUCUAAUUAGUUGUGGAUAAUGUAUGCAUGGUAGAAGAUCAUUAAGGGGUAAGUUAACACCAUUUAACCCAGAGAUUGGAAAAAAUUAUCGUCACAUCCAACGAAUUAUUGAUCAACCACCAAUCUCUACAAUAGGCGAUCAUAUUAGAACCUUGAUGAAUUAUUCGCUCCUGCAUCCACUAGUCCACCUACAUGUAUAGUGUUGCCAAUUAAUAACUUUCAAAAAUAUGCUACCCAAAUUCCAUGGGUUUGAAAGUGAACAACCCUAUAUUCAUCUAAAUAAAUUCAUGACAAUUUGUCAAACUUUCAAAAAUCAAAAUUUAGAUGAAGAAAGUGUAAAAUUGAGAUUGUUUCCAAUGACCUUAGAGGAUCGAGCCGCGAUAUGGCUAUAUUCUCUGGCCCCAAAUUCCAUCACAAUAUAGGAACAACUAUCUAGGAAGUUCUGUUGGGAACCCGCCCAUGCUGCAGAAAAUUUAAAAAAUUUUCAGAUGGCAGCGAAAUUGGUAUGCGCGGGAUCAACGUUCAUCUCAUGAACGUUAUUCAGCAACCGUUCGUAGAUAGAUUAGGAUUACAAACUUUAAAACUAUUUGAAAGAUCAAAUCUUCAUCUUGUAUGGGUAGAUGAUCACCGCAAACUGAUGAUCGUGGUUUUGAAAGAAGGCUCGCUUGAAGCCGCACACGCGUCCGGCCUCUACGGGUAUCCACACGAAGCAGAGGACCAAUCCAAAUGCUCCAAUCUCCCCGGGGUGCUAGCUCCCUUGCAGAGAUAUAUUUUGAUGGCUGAUCUCCUCCCUUUCUUUCAACUCUUGAAUGUGCUUGGGAGGAGGAAGAAGAAGGAGGGAUCUUGAAGAAGAACCAAAGGCUAGAUGCAGCCUUUUCUUUACCUUGCGUUGGAAGAAGGAAGGGAGGAGGAAGGAGGCCGCAAACACCUUUUCUCUCUUUCUUCUUGCUUGCGGCUGAAGACCAAGAGGAGGGAGGGGCGUACGGAUGAGGAGGAGAGGGCUUCCCAUGCCCUAGGUGCUGCCCCUUUGAUCCUCUUAAAUAGCAUGUGGAGCUCCUACCUUUUAGGAGCUCCAAACUAUUUUCCAAAGAGGGGCGCUGGCCCCUCUUGUCUUGCCGCACCAAAGAAGAAAAGGAGGAGGGGCGCAAGCUCCUCCUUCUUGUCUCACCAUCCACCAGUGACACCUAGCAGCAUGUAGUGGCUAUCCAGCAGAAUGGAAUGAUGAACCUCUAGGUGCAGUUAUCGUAUGAUACAGUCCUACUAUCGUGGAUCCCUACAGGACGGAGGUCAUGGAUAACUCGUCAAACCCCAUCGUCUGUCAUAUGUCAAGAUUUAUUCGACUUAAGUUCGAGAGUGAAAAACUCUUUCUCCACUAUUUUUACUGCCCCGGCCGAGGUCUUACAAACUCAGUCUUAUAAAUUACAUAGGAUCUCUCCUUAUCUACCAAGGUCAAUAGAUUCCAUUAAGGUGCAUACCCUACUCCUACUGUGAACCUAUUGCAGCCAAUUUACACUUCAUGGAUCCAUAUGUCUAGAGACCAUGUAUACGUGUAGUCAAACUAAAAUAACCUCACUGUGAGUAGCCGAAGCACCGCAGGUUAAAGGAUCAGUCAAACUACUGCAACAUUAAGCAAGUCACUGAUGAGUGGAUAGACAUCCAAGUGACUUCUUGUCUUGGUCACGCUCAGUACCCUUGUUCUUUAACAAGCACCUGCACUAUUACUUCAGUAUCACCACACCAUGGAUUUNNNNNNNNNNNNNNNNNNNNCAAUUAUUAUUUUUUUUGAAAUUUAAAAAAAAUCACUUCUUUUUUUUAAAAAAAUUUUAAAUUCCGAAUUUCAAAUUUAAGAAUUUAAUAAGUUUGAAAUUAUUAACUAAAGAUAAUCAAAACAAGAGAAAUUAAUAAAAAUAAAAAUAGAAAAACUUACUACCGGAGUGCGUUCACUCCGAGCAUCCAAAAUUCGAUUUGAUUUUUGUGAUCGUUCUUGCUUCUCGAUUUGCCUCCCCGGCAAUGGCACCAAAAUUUUGUUGUCCGGUUCUUGUUUAUCUAAAAAUACGCUAAACAGAUUGUUGUUAGAACAGACAAACAAAGUUUAAAUUAAUUUUACUCUUACCUGUUCUACUCGAAGAAUAAUGGUCGUAGGAGGUCGAUCCAUAGGGAGGCGAUUGGAGUUGCAUAAAAAUGUAAACAUUCACUCGGAUUCGAAAUCGAUUUUUAAAUGACAGAAAAAAAACAUUACUUUGAGGAUGUUAAAUGAUUUCUAAUUGAAAAUAAACAAAGGAAAGAAGGAAAAUUUUGCAAUUGAAAUUGGAUGCAGAGUAGGAGUCGAUUUCUAAAGACAGAUUAUGAAUUAAAAUCGCCAGUUGAACAGCAAAGAUUAAUUUCAGAGUUAUCUUAAAAUUAAGAAUUCCAAAAUGCAUAAAAUAAAUUGCAGGAUUUAAAUUGAAACUUAAAACAUAGAUUGCAUAAAAGAUAAGUGUAUGGAUUGCAUAAAAGGGCAAUUACAAAAAUAAAUUGAAGAUUGGAAGCCUAAUGCUUCCUCCUUCUACAAAAUAAAACAUAAAAAUCAAGAAAGAAAAAAAAANNNNNNNNNNNNNNNNNNNNAUUGCAUAAAAGGGCAAUUACAAAAAUAAAAUGAAGAUUGGAAGCCUAAUGCUUCCUCCUUCUACAAAAUAAAACAUAAAAACCAAGGAAGAAAAAAAACAAGAAAACUCCCCUUUCUUCCCCUCCCCUUAUUUUUUUAUUCUCUUUUUUUUUUUCAAACCAAAACAGAGCCAUGCUCUGUUUCUAUUUUUGUUUUCUUCUUUGUCUCUUCUAAACCGAACACUCCAUCCUGUUCCUUCUUGAACCAGCCGACCUCCGCUGUUACUUGGCCCCAAUCCCAACCAAGGACCCCGAGCUUCCCUCUCCUCCUCUCGUCCUCCCCUUCUUAUAGAUCGCCCGAGCCUUGAAACCGGCGAUGGAUCAAAACGGUCGCGGGAUCGAUGGGUGCUGAUCACGGAUGGAUGAGGCGGAGGGCGUCAAUCCGUGGGAGAUGGCUAGAUCACGGGCUCCUUGGGCGGAUUGAAACGAAAGAGGAUGGGAACGUGGAUCCGGGUGUUGGGAGGAGCCGAUCAUGGCUUGAUGGGCGCUAUGCUGGGAGAUUGCGGCCGGAUCAAGCUGGAGGGAGCUGAUCUGGAUGGUGAUCCAUGGCUGGGGCACUGCAGGAGGAAGAAAUGGAAGGGAGGAGAUGCAUGCGGCUGGAUCACGGCUUGCAUUACGGCUGGGAUGCUUGCAGUCAAAAGGAGUGGAUCAUGGAUGCUGAUUCGGGAAGGAAGCUAGCUGCGGUUCCUUGAUCACGGACGGAUGAAAUCCUUGGACACGGAAGCUUGGUCCGUGGAGGGGGUGAUUCACGGAUGGCUGAGCCACGAGAUGAGCUGGGAUCACGGACGCGGAAGGUGCCGGUGAUGAAGCGAAAGAUGAAUACAGACGGGAUGAUGGCGUGAUCUGGAAUGGAGCUGGGGUCUCCCGUGAUCAAUGGAUUUGGAGACGCCUUGCAGCUGGGCUGGCACGGGAGGGAAGGGCUGUUGAGGAAGGUUGCAACGCCGGUUGGGACGCGGUUGUUGCUGGCACGUUGAUCAUGGACUCGAGGCCGCCGGAUCUGAUCUGGAAGAUGGACGGCCGUGAUGCACUGUAGGAGGAAGAAGAAGAACAGUGUUUUCACGAAACACUGUUCAUAUGAACNNNNNNNNNNNNNNNNNNNNCUGGAAGAUGGACGGCCGUGAUGCACUGCAGGAGGAAGAAGAAGAAUAGNGUUUUCACGAAAUACUGUUCAUAUGAACAGUGUUUUCAGCAUGAAUAAUAAUUUCAGGAAUAGUCUUUUCAGCUAUUCUUCAUGGGAUUUAAAAAGUUCUUUUUCUUUGUGAUAAAGUGAGAGUGGAAUCUCUAUUCCGAAAGAGUGCGGGUGCUAAUCCGCGAGGAUCAUUGGGAGAUCGCACGUGGGCUCGGAUGUUUGGGUACAAAUGUGCUUAAUCAGAUCAUGGGAGGAUUGGGCCCGCACGGUUUGGGCUGUUGCUGGCUGGCACGCUGGAAUCAUAGUUGGGCUCAAACCCAAUGUUAUUGGGUUUUUUAGAUUACUUGCACUCAAACACAAA
RNAcentral lists this long non-coding RNA (15777 nucleotides) under Phoenix dactylifera (date palm). Its description in RNAcentral is "long non-coding RNA (PDAC_LNC009948)". The record is from RNAcentral. Lineage: Eukaryota; Viridiplantae; Streptophyta; Magnoliopsida; Arecales; Arecaceae.